UACGGGGGGGGCAAGCGUUGUUCGGAAUCACUGGGCGUAAAGGGCUCGUAGGCGGCCAACUAAGUCGGAUGUGAAAUCCCCAGGCUUAACCUGGGAACUGCAUCCGAUACUGGAUGGCUUGAGGCGAUGAGAGGGGUGUGGAAUUCCCGGUGUAGUGGUGGAAUGCGUAGAUAUCGGGGGGAACAUCAGUGGCGAAAGCGGCACCCUGGCAUUAGCCUGACGCUCAUGUGCGAAAGCGUGGGGAGCAAACAGG
RNAcentral lists this ribosomal RNA (253 nucleotides) under uncultured bacterium. RNAcentral's name for it is "partial 16S ribosomal RNA". It matches the Rfam family "Bacterial small subunit ribosomal RNA", at positions 524 to 776 of the family's 1533-position model. The record is from RNAcentral.